UUUAAAUCUGAACUACUUAUUGUAAAAAUAUUGUAAAAGUAUUAUUCAUAAUUAAACAGUGUUUGUAGCUUGACCUAAGGUGUCUGAGGGAACAGUUAAGACUAUAACAAUAGUAUUUUUCCCUGUUACACUUGCUCUUCCCAUGCCACUAAUAGAUUCAUAGAAUAAUAGACUGGUUUGGGUUGGAGUCACUGGAAUCUCAGGGAGUUGGUCAUGAUUCCUCUCUCCUCACCAGCAGUGAAACAAUGAGGCAGAGCAAUGAGGCCCAAUUGUUGGGCUUAGCCCUGCUGUCCCAUUGUCGCCAUUUCCCUCCCCAGGCACCUUUGGGCCGCCAUUUUGUGCCACCACCCUGGCCUGUGAGGCUGUGCUCUCUCUCCUACAACAUCUUGUAUUGCUGCAUGCAUGUCUACAACAACUUUCCCUGUAGGAUCCAUCAGAUAUUUGCUGCAAAACUUGCAGGAGCUGUCUUUGGCUGUGUGAGGAGCCCCUUGGCCCUGCCCCUACUUCGGAUCAACUCAUUAUCCCGAAUAAACGAUGUGUCAUUCCCAUUAUUUAUGUUUCACUGCAGCCAAAGUAUCUGGACCUCGUUUUUGCAUUUAAAGACAAACAGCUGCCUGAGCUUCAGCUGGAGGAGGAAAAGGAAGACACCAUCAAGCAUGAAUGUUGGUGCUGAAACUGCGUGCACAAGACAGCCCCAUCCCAUACAGCCAGAAGCCCUGUGGAUAUGGAAGGAGGUAGGAGACACUAGUUUGAGACCCUGCUUUACCUACCAUAACCAGGGAUGCCUUCUAACCUAAACAGUGGCCCUGAUAUUGCAGGCUGAGUUUAAGUUUCAUCUGGCUGCUUCUAGAUGCCUUCAGUGCAGACUUGUACAUCUGAAUUCAUCCAGACUGCCUUAUGGCUGCUGGAGAAAAGCAAGAUAUUUUAGCACUCAGUAUUUAAACCCUAAGCAUGACUGUUGCUCUCCAUCAACUAUAAAUGGAACCAAAGAGAGUGAAUGGGAUGGAGAGGUCUAGCCUGUACAACCUGCAGCUGAAGAAGAAGAACCCCGCUGACCACUCAGUCAACUUUACAAAAGGAGUCAGCUUGAAGAGUUGAAGCUCAUUCCAACACCUGUAGUUACAAUCAGCUGCCUGAGCCUCUGGCUGCCUUUCCCUGAUCCUUGCUGCCCUGUUCCUCCAAUGUCAUCUGUGUUUCUCUGCUGUGUGAGGACCUUUUCACAUUGAGAAUCUGCUGUGCAACCCCACUUGCUUUUAUUGCUCUAAUCCAAGUUCAAUGAGACACCUCACACCUGUCAGCUCAUUCUCCAGAAAG
Molecule: long non-coding RNA, 1314 nt
Filed under: Meleagris gallopavo (turkey)
Lineage: Eukaryota; Metazoa; Chordata; Aves; Galliformes; Phasianidae
Description: lncRNA (ENSMGAG00000019038.1)
Source: RNAcentral